RNAcentral lists this ribosomal RNA (254 nucleotides) under uncultured bacterium. Its description in RNAcentral is "partial 16S ribosomal RNA". It matches the Rfam family "Bacterial small subunit ribosomal RNA", at positions 524 to 776 of the family's 1533-position model. The record is from RNAcentral.
UACAGAGGGUGCGAGCGUUAAUCGGAAUUACUGGGCGUAAAGCGCGCGUAGGCGGCUUUGCAAGUCGGGUGUGAAAUCCCCAGGCUUAACCUGGGAACUGCAUUCGAGACUGCAUUGCUAGAGUAUGGGAGAGGGAAGUGGAAUUUCCGGUGUAGCGGUGAAAUGCGUAGAUAUCGGAAGGAACACCAGUGGCGAAGGCGACUACCUGGCCUGUUUCUUGACGCUGAGGCGCGAAAGCUAGGGGAGCAAACGGG